Molecule: long non-coding RNA, 760 nt
Filed under: Podarcis lilfordi (Lilford's wall lizard)
Lineage: Eukaryota; Metazoa; Chordata; Lepidosauria; Squamata; Lacertidae
Source: RNAcentral
CGGGAGGAGACAAAUAAAUCAAGCGAUGAACCACCAUUACGAGACUGGUAUGUGCGGAACGAAAAAAGAGGGGGGGUGGAGGAAAUUUUUUUUAUUUUGUUUGCCUCUUGUGAGUAUUUAUAAACCUCCACCCCAAGAGAGACAAAUCGUCGCCUUUUACUAAUCGCAAGCAAGAAUUUAACAGCUGUGUGGAGUGAAUUAUUGAUUGAAGAGAGGACUGGUAAAUAUGGAGUGCGGAAGGAAAAUUCUAUGACGCAGUUGUUAAUGGCGUCUUGCUAAGACAGGCUUGUCAAAGAAAGACGAAGGGAGGAGGACCAGGGUCAUUGGAAUGUAAAUGAUGGAUUGAAUGUGAUAACCUGGCAGAGCCCCUUUGUGAUAUAUGUGGCAAGCUUGGGAAAAUUAAUAGGACGGACCGAGGAUAAAUUUUUGAAGACGGGGAGUAAUGGCGGCUGUCCUUAUGAGAUAUGACUUUUGGAGUGUGCAAAAUCCACGCAGAUGUUGUUUGUUCCUAACCUGCUUGCGAAGAUUAUCAGAGAUUGCAAAGAAAGGAAUACAUGAUAACAACAAGAAGAUGAAGAAGUAAUAAAGAGACUAUCUGGACAGAGCUGGAUAGAAUCGUUUGAUAAAAGCAGUAACAGAAGUGAUGUUUUGAUUCUCGUUCGGAGCUUGAUGUAAGGGUACCCCCAACAAAAUUUAAAAAUCUGGCUGUAUAAUUUGGAAGUAAUAUGAUUUGGAAAUAAUGUGAUUGGAUUGGCCUGUU